AUAGAGUCUGCAUAUAGAACAUGUCAUAUGCACAUCCUACAUUCAUUUGACAGUGAUAACUUAAAAAGUCAAAGUGACAGUCACUUGUGUAAUGACCACCUUUAUAUAUGGAACCUACGGGUAAUUACGGAGCAGACUAUAUGUCAGCCAUAGACGGGGCCGACUUAUGUCGGACAUAGACGGAGCUGGCCAGACACACAUGGAUCCUUUGAGGACAUGUGGAAACACGGGCAUUAUACAGUGAACUGUUCACAAUAGCAAAAGAAAGAGAAACAGAGAUGCAUGCAUGCAUAGAUACAAGUUCAUACUUUCAUGGCAUAUAUGAUUAACAUAUGUCAGUGAUUUAUGAUUAAGUAAAACAUAUAUGUGAUGAUGUUAUAUCUUGGUGUAAUUUGGGAUGAUGAUAAUAUUAUGAAUGAAAGAUAUUAAUUGCUCUUAUAAAUACGAACAAGAAAUAUAUAUUAAAAUGAAUAUUUUCUUACAAUUGUUUCGAGAACCUUACUUUCUUUUAUUUUCUGGAAGAUUUUACAAAGACGCUAUAAGUUAUUUUUAGACAAUCUCAGUAUCUUUUAAAACUAAAGUUGAUGUAUAUUCAUUGAGUUGCGACUCAUGGAAAUCGCUCAAUUUUUCCAGGAUAUGAAUAGUUAGUAGUGUGUUUGUAUGAGUGCUCAGUGGAGAUUGUAGAUAGUGCCUAAGAGACGGUGGUCCAGCAGGAUGCUCCAGACUCCUCCAUCAGCCGAUGCACAUAUAUGUAGUUUGAGAGAUUGUGUUUAUGUACUCUAGACUUACUAAGUGUGCAAGAAAUCACGAAG
Molecule: long non-coding RNA, 812 nt
Filed under: Daucus carota (carrot)
Lineage: Eukaryota; Viridiplantae; Streptophyta; Magnoliopsida; Apiales; Apiaceae
Description: long non-coding RNA (DCAR_LNC006586)
Source: RNAcentral